GACGAACGCUGGCGGCGUGCUUAACACAUGCAAGUCGAACGGAAAGGCCCUGCUUUUGUGGGGUGCUCGAGUGGCGAACGGGUGAGUAACACGUGAGUAACCUGCCCUUGACUUUGGGAUAACUUCAGGAAACUGGGGCUAAUACCGGAUAGGAGCUCCUGCUGCAUGGUGGGGGUUGGAAAGUUUCGGCGGUUGGGGAUGGACUCGCGGCUUAUCAGCUUGUUGGUGGGGUAGUGGCUUACCAAGGCUUUGACGGGUAGCCGGCCUGAGAGGGUGACCGGCCACAUUGGGACUGAGAUACGGCCCAGACUCCUACGGGAGGCAGCAGUGGGGAAUAUUGCACAAUGGGCGGAAGCCUGAUGCAGCAACGCGGCGUGCGGGAUGACGGCCUUCGGGUUGUAAACCGCUUUCGCCUGUGACGAAGCGUGAGUGACGGUAAUGGGUAAAGAAGCACCGGCUAACUACGUG
This 468-nucleotide ribosomal RNA is filed under the name uncultured bacterium. RNAcentral describes it as "partial 16S ribosomal RNA". It matches the Rfam family "Bacterial small subunit ribosomal RNA", at positions 28 to 507 of the family's 1533-position model. The record is from RNAcentral.